AUGCAGCCUUCCCGACGCUUCCCCUUCGACCUCCCACAGCGCCGCCGACUUUCACCUCCGGCAGCCAAGAAUGACUUGGAUUCAGACGAGACCAUGAGUGAGGCCGACAUGAUUGAGGAUAUGACCAAAAGUUUUUUCUUCUUGUUUUCAUUUUUGGUUUGCCUUGGCGCAGUGGUAAAGCUGCUGCCUUGUGACCAUGAGGUCAUGGGUUCAAGUCCUGGAAACAGCCUCUUACAGAAAUGUAGGGAAAGGCUGCGUACUAUAGACCCAAAGUGGUCGGACCCUUCCCUGGACCCUGCGCAAGCGGGAGCUACAUGCACCAGGUUGCCCUUUUUUUCAUUUUUGGUUUGCAAUGGAGUGAUGCAUGAUUUCAUAUUGAUUGCUAGGUUCUUUCUUUGCUUUUGUAGUGAACUACUGAAUCAUGAAGUUGUCGCUUUCAUGGAAGAAUUGAAUGUAACACACAACCUCGACGACAUUGACAUGUCAAUGCCAUAUGUGGAGGUGGUGGAGGAGGUCGAGAUGGCCAAGGAGGCCCAAGUGAACAAGAAAAGGAGUAGGUCAAGCAACUACAAGACCGAUGAAGGCGGCGAAGACAGUCCACUCAUGGGGACACCUUGUCUAAGUUGUGUGGUGGCAGCGGCAGUGGUGCUGCCGACAGUGACGACGCUUGUGCUGUUGUGCAUGAGGUCCAUUUGA
RNAcentral lists this ribosomal RNA (696 nucleotides) under Triticum aestivum (bread wheat). RNAcentral's name for it is "partial small subunit ribosomal RNA". Lineage: Eukaryota; Viridiplantae; Streptophyta; Magnoliopsida; Poales; Poaceae. The record is from RNAcentral.